Molecule: long non-coding RNA, 953 nt
Organism: Canis lupus familiaris (dog)
Lineage: Eukaryota; Metazoa; Chordata; Mammalia; Carnivora; Canidae
Exons: 4
Source: RefSeq, a predicted model, not a curated record
UCGCCCUAUAAGGAAAUUCCCCGCCUCCCAGCCCAUCAUGCCUUGCUGCUGACUUCCGGUUCUCCAGCGGUAUAAAGCGGCGGCUCCGGGCCAAAUUUCAGGAGAAGCGUUGGUGCGAGCCUCUUGGCUCUUCUGACCUGGGAUCGUUUUCCCUGGAAUAAAUGGUGUCAGACUCGUUACUAAAUAGUCUGACAACAAGAGGGGACGAGCCCAUGGCUGCCGAAGGUUCCAGGUCAGCCCCCAGAGCCCGGUGAAGCCACUCUACCUUCCGCUCGCUCUUCGCGUCAUUAUUUCCAAACUUCAAGGACAGAGAUCCUCUAGGAUUCUACCCAGUAUUGAGCUUGCAUUCCUGUUGUUUCAUGAGGACAAUGCAGAGGAACUCAUGUGUAUGCUGUGUAUGCAGUGGUUUGGGGUCACAAGUGAGGAAUACUGAGCCUGCAGAAGCCACUGUAUUAAUACAAGAAGGGAAUAGCAGUACAGAAGAGCAGAACAUUUCAGAAUUGAACUAGUGUUACUCCAUCCUCUAUCUCCAAGAUGGCUUAUAUAGAGUGCCAGUCACAACUACACAAUUGCAAAUUUCAGGUAGAUCUCUCUAGAAAGUUUAGUGCACAUAGUCAGUAACGUGAAGCAUUAUUGAGUCCCCGUUUCCAGUACCAAGCCCUGAGAGAUGGUCAAAGCUAGAGGCAAAGUAUGGCUGGACUCCACAUAUCUCUUCUAUGGACGAAGAGAAAAAUGGCAGAAAUUAUAGGAAAAAGUGGAAUGAAAAGUCUAUAAGAAUUUCAACUCAAUAUUUAAGAAUCCCAUACAUAAAAGUAUGAUAGUUUAAUAUGGAAGGGUAUCAUAUGUAUUUUACUCCAUAAUCCUCAAGAACGAAAUUACUUAUUAUCGACAGUAAGGACAAGUAGAGAAUAAAUCCAUAAAAAUCAUCAAGAAUAAAAGGAGUUAUCAGUGUU